Molecule: long non-coding RNA, 318 nt
Organism: Arachis duranensis
Lineage: Eukaryota; Viridiplantae; Streptophyta; Magnoliopsida; Fabales; Fabaceae
Exons: 3
Source: RefSeq, a predicted model, not a curated record
UUUGUUUGGUUUAUGCUCUAUUUAUAGGAUUUUCUGGCACAAGUGCCUACCUUUCAAUAUCAGUAUCCUGUCAUCACAAAUGUUCAUAUCUGGAACGGGAAAAUUGAGCGGGGUGAUUGAAGGCAGCAAAUUGAGCUGAGAUGAAGGGCACAUAGUCAAUAUCUCUGAGGGAGGCAGACCUACAAGGGGAGGUUGAGAGGAUGAAUGCUAAGAGUAUGCUAGAGUGAAGGAAUCUAUCAUGUUCAGAACAAGAAAUCUGGGAAGAAACAAUCAUCAUAACUAUUUGUCUCUUUUCAUUUGUUGUUUUUAGUGUUAUUU